RNAcentral lists this ribosomal RNA (585 nucleotides) under uncultured bacterium. RNAcentral describes it as "partial 16S ribosomal RNA". It matches the Rfam family "Bacterial small subunit ribosomal RNA", at positions 355 to 1375 of the family's 1533-position model. The record is from RNAcentral.
UGGGGAAUUUUGGACAAUGGGCGAAAGCCUGAUUCAGCAAUGCCGCGUGUGUGAAGAAGGCCUUCGGGUUGUAAAGCACUUUUGUCCGGAAAGAAAUCCUUGGCUCUAAUACAGUCGGGGGAUGACGGUACCGGAAGAAUAAGCACCGGCUAACUACGUGCCAGCAGCCGCGGUAAUACGUAGGGUGCAAGCGUUAAUCGGAAUUACUGGGCGUAAAGCGUGCGCAGGCGGUUUGCUAAGACCGAUGUGAAAUCCCCGGGCUCAACCUGGGAACUGCAUUGGUGACUGGCAGGCUAGAGUAUGGCAGAGGGGGGUAGAAUUCCACGUGUAGCAGUGAAAUGCGUAGAGAUGUGGAGGAAUACCGAUGGCGAAGGCAGCCCCCUGGGCCAAUACUGACGCUCAUGCACGAAAGCGUGGGGAGCAAACAGGAUUAGAUACCCUGGUAGUCCACGCCCUAAACGAUGUCAACUAGUUGUUGGGGAUUCAUUUCCUUAGUAACGUAGCUAACGCGUGAAGUUGACCGCCUGGGGAGUACGGUCGCAAGAUUAAAACUCAAAGGAAUUGACGGGGUCAUAGCUGUUUCCU